AGCGAACGCUGGCGGCGUGCCUAACACAUGCAAGUCGAACGUGAACGGGGGCAACUCCUAGUAAAGUGGCGUACGGGUGAGUAACGCGUAGGUAAUCUACCCCAGAGUCUGGAAUAACCGGCCGAAAGGCUGGCUAAUACUGGAUAGAGCGACGGAAUCCGUAAUUGGGUUUUUCGGGAAAGGGGGCUCGCAAGAGCUCUUGCUUUGGGAUGAGCCUGCGUCUCAUUAGCUAGUUGGUAGGGUAACGGCCUACCAAGGCAUUGAUGGGUAGCUGGUCUGAGAGGAUGAUCAGCCACACUGGAACUGAAACACGGUCCAGACUCCUACGGGAGGCAGCAGUGGGGAAUCUUGCGCAAUGGACGAAAGUCUGACGCAGCCACGCCGCGUGAGUGAAGAAGGCCUUCGGGUUGUAAAGCUCUGUCGAGCGGGACGAAAGGUUUGUGGGCUAAUACCCCAUAGAUUCGACGGUACCGCUAAAGGAAGCACCGGCUAACACUGUGCCAGCAGCCGCCGUAA
Molecule: ribosomal RNA, 516 nt
Filed under: uncultured bacterium
Lineage: Bacteria
Description: partial 16S ribosomal RNA
Rfam family: Bacterial small subunit ribosomal RNA
Source: RNAcentral